Molecule: ribosomal RNA, 253 nt
Filed under: uncultured bacterium
Lineage: Bacteria
Description: partial 16S ribosomal RNA
Rfam family: Bacterial small subunit ribosomal RNA
Source: RNAcentral
UACGGAGGGUGCAAGCGUUAUCCGGAUUUACUGGGUUUAAAGGGUGCGUAGGCGGGCCUUUAAGUCAGUGGUGAAAACUCCGAGCUUAACUCGGAAACUGCCAUUGAUACUAUUGGUCUUGAAUUUAGUUGAGGUUGGCGGAAUGUGUCGUGUAGCGGUGAAAUGCUUAGAUAUGACACAGAACACCGAUUGCGAAGGCAGCUGGCUAAACUAAAAUUGACGCUGAGGCACGAAAGUGUGGGGAUCAAACAGG